AUUGAACGCUGGCGGCAUGCCUUACACAUGCCAGUCGAACGGUAACAGGUCUUCGGAUGCUGACGAGUGGCGGACGGGGGAGUAAUACAUCGAAACGUGCACGAUCGUGGUGGAUAACGGAGCAAAAGCUUUACUAAUACCUCAUACGAUCUGCGGAUUAAAGCAGGGGACCUCAAAGCCGUGCGCGGACGUAGCUGCCGAUGGCAGAUGAGGUAGUUGGUGGGAUAACAGCUUACCAAGCCGACGAUCUGUAGCUGGUCUGAGAGGAGGAGCAGCCACACUGGGACUGAGACACGGCCCAGACUCCUACGGGAGGCAGCAGUGGGGAAUUUUGGACAAUGGGCGAAAGCCUGAUCCAGCAACGCCGCGUGAAGGAUGAAGGCCUUCGGGUUGUAAAAUGCUUUUGUACGGAACGAACAGAUUCUUUAUAAUCAAGAGGGUCCAUGACGGUACCGUAAGAAUAAGCCCCGGCUAACUACGUG
RNAcentral lists this ribosomal RNA (482 nucleotides) under uncultured bacterium. RNAcentral's name for it is "partial 16S ribosomal RNA". It matches the Rfam family "Bacterial small subunit ribosomal RNA", at positions 30 to 507 of the family's 1533-position model. The record is from RNAcentral.